RNAcentral lists this small nuclear RNA (47 nucleotides) under Cervus elaphus hippelaphus. Lineage: Eukaryota; Metazoa; Chordata; Mammalia; Artiodactyla; Cervidae. The record is from RNAcentral.
AUCGCUUGUCAGCCUUUUGGCUAACAUCAAGUGUAAUACUAUUCCCA